RNAcentral lists this ribosomal RNA (301 nucleotides) under uncultured bacterium. RNAcentral describes it as "partial 16S ribosomal RNA". It matches the Rfam family "Bacterial small subunit ribosomal RNA", at positions 510 to 808 of the family's 1533-position model. The record is from RNAcentral.
AGUCGCCGCGGUAAUACGGAGGGGGCUAGCGUUGUUCGGAAUUACUGGGCGUAAAGCGCACGUAGGCGGCUGUGUAAGUCAGAGGUGAAAGCCCGGGGCUCAACCCCGGAAUAGCCUUUGAGACUGCAUAGCUUGAACACGGGAGAGGUGAGUGGAAUUCCGAGUGUAGAGGUGAAAUUCGUAGAUAUUCGGAAGAACACCAGUGGCGAAGGCGGCUCACUGGACCGUUGUUGACGCUGAGGUGCGAAAGCGUGGGGAGCAAACAGGAUUAGAUACCCCUGUAGUCCCUGUCUCUUAUACC